RNAcentral lists this long non-coding RNA (1433 nucleotides) under Salmo salar (Atlantic salmon). Its description in RNAcentral is "lncRNA (ENSSSAG00000091030.1)". Lineage: Eukaryota; Metazoa; Chordata; Actinopteri; Salmoniformes; Salmonidae. The record is from RNAcentral.
AUUUUUUUGCGCCUGCGCAUAAAUCUGAGAAACGUGAGUUUUGUCUUCAUUGUUUAUCUCGACAUAGGAUAGGUUGUGUGAAAAUAUUACUGAUGUUUAACGUUAAAAAUGGACCAAAAGAUUAAUGCUAAACAACAUUUGACAUGUUUGAACGAACAUAAAUAGAUUAUUUACUAGUUUUUUUUAGCUUUUCGGCGUGAUUUUACAGUCCCCCACCACGUUUUGUGGGAGCAUAAUGAACGCUAAGUACUUGGUGUUAUUUGGACAUAAAUUAUGAACUUUGUCAAAAGAAACCACAUUUGUUCCGGACCUGGAAUGCCUUCCGGACCUGGGAUGCCUGUCUUCUGAUGGAGAUAAUCAAAGCUCUCUCCCUCUCUCUCUGUCUCUGUCAAUCUGUCUCUCUGUAUCUCUUUGUAUCUGACUAUCAGCCCGUAGCACUCACAUCUGUAGCCAUGAAAUGCUUUGAAAGGCUGGUCUUGGCUCACAUCGACAUCAUCAUCCUAGACACGCUGGACCCACUCCAAUUCUCAUACCGCCCCAGCAGAUCCACAGAUGAUGCCAUCUCCAUUGCACUCCACACUGCCCUUUCCCAUCGAGACAAAAGAGACACCUAUGUGAGAAUGCUAUUCAUUGAAAACAGCUCAGCGUUCAACACCAUGGUGCCCUCAAAGCUCAUCACUAAGCUAAGGACCCUGGGACUAAACACCUUCCUCUGCAACUGGAUCCUGGACUUUCUGAAGUGCCACCCCCAGGUGGUGACGAUAGGCAACAUACUGAUAAUUCAACACGGGGGCCCCUCAGGGGUGCGUGCUCAAGUCUCCUCCUGUACUCCCUGUUCACCCAUGACUGCAUGGCCAGGCACGACUCCAACACCAUCAUCAAGUUUACCAACAACACGACAGUGGUAGGCCUGAUUAUUGGCGACGAUAAGACAGCCUACAGGGAGGAGGUCAGAGAACUGGCAGUGUGGUGCCAGAACACCAACAACCAACACCAAAAACACACUAACACAGUCGUGAAGGGGCCCCUUGGGAGGCUGAAAAGAUGUGUCAUGGGCCCUCAGAUCCUCAAAAAGGAUCUGUACCAUCGAGAGCAUCCUGACUGGUUGCAUCACCGCCUGGUAUGGCAACUGCUUGGCAUCCGACCGCAAGGCGCUACAGAGGGUAGUGCUUACGGCCCAGUACAUCACUGGGGCCAAGCUCCCUGCCAUCCAGGACCUCUAUACCAGGCGGUGUCAGAGGAAGGCCCUAAAAAGACUCCAGCCACCCACGUCAUAGACUGUUCUCUCUGCUACCGCACUGCAAGCGGUACCGAUGCACCAAGUCUGGAACCAAUAGGACCCUGACCCAGUAUGUACACUACCGGUCAAAAGUUUUAGAACAUCUACUCAUUCAAGGCUUUUUCUUUAUUUUUACUAUUUUCUAUGUUGUAGA